RNAcentral lists this ribosomal RNA (336 nucleotides) under uncultured bacterium. Its description in RNAcentral is "bacterial SSU rRNA". It matches the Rfam family "Bacterial small subunit ribosomal RNA", at positions 72 to 422 of the family's 1533-position model. The record is from RNAcentral.
AAGUGGAGCAAUCCAUGAGUAAAGUGGCGACCGGGUGAGUAACACGUGACUAACCUACCUUCGAGUGGGGGAUAACCUCGGGAAACCGAGGCUAAUACCGCAUAACAUCGCAAGAUCAAAGCAGCAAUGCGCUGGAAGAGGGGGUCGCGGCUGAUUAGCUAGUUGGCGGGGUAACGGCCCACCAAGGCGAAGAUCGGUAGCCGGCCUGAGAGGGCGCACGGCCACACUGGAACUGAAACACGGUCCAGACUCCUACGGGAGGCAGCAGUGGGGAAUUUUGCGCAAUGGGGGAAACCCUGACGCAGCAACGCCGCGUGGAGGAUGAAGCCCCUUGGG